Molecule: long non-coding RNA, 4249 nt
Filed under: Nicotiana benthamiana
Lineage: Eukaryota; Viridiplantae; Streptophyta; Magnoliopsida; Solanales; Solanaceae
Description: long non-coding RNA (NBEN_LNC012714)
Source: RNAcentral
GAGGCCCCCCGAGACCUUAACCAAAGGCACCAACAAGUCUAAUACCACCGUCCGAAUGUGUACAAUCCAUAAAACACCUAAAACAACAUCGAAAUCUCAAAUUAACCAUGGAUUCAAGCCUAAGAACUCCAAUUUUCUCAAAAUACACUUUCGAUCAAAAAGUGUAUCAAACCUUGUCCGAAUGAACUUAAAUUUUGCACACACGUCAUAUUCAACAAUACGGAGCUACUCCAGAAUUCCAUUAUGACCCUCGAAUCAAAAUCUCCCUAUUCGAACCGGAAACUUUAAAAAUCCAUCUUUCGGCAUUUCAAGCCUAAAUUAGCUACGGACCUCCAAAACACAAUCCGACCAUGCCUUUAAGCCCGAAAUCACCCAACAAAGCUAACAUAACCAUCAGAUUUCCAUUUCAAGGCUGUGUUCACACUGUUCCGACUAUGGUCAAAUUUCCAAGACUUAAGCUCUCAUUUAGGGACCAAGUGUUCCAAACUCUCCGAAAUUCAAAAACCGAACAUCCCGACAAUUAAAAAUAGCAGAAAUAAAUACGAGGAAAGUAGUUUAUAGGGGAUUAAGACGUUAAUUCUUAAGAUGAUUGACCAUGUCGUCAUAAGUCUUGAUGGGAUAUUCGGAGAGACAAAGGUUAUAUCUUAUCAGAACUUGCUACCAAUCGAAUAGCUAUAAAUAGGGAUGUGGUAUUCAAGAAGUAUGUGUUCCUUUUUACAAAAACAAUAAGAGAUUCCAUCGGUCAAAAUACUCAUAUUGACCACUAGGAUUUUGGCAUACUUGAUGCUGGAAUGCUGUCUAUAUAAGUUGCAUACAACUCACUAGACGUAGGUCAAGGUUCAGAUGUGGGUCAACGCGUAGCUUUACUUAUAGUUGACAACGUAGUUGAAGACACUGCAUAGGGAGACAAUAAGCUAUAGGAAAGCUCACCAUAUGAAAGUAUCACUCUAGUCAUAUAGGAAGAUGAACCUCAUGAUCUUAAUCAAGACAUGACCACUGAUGUUGCACAUCUUCCAUUGAGAAAAUCCUCCAGGACCUCCAUACAAUCUAUUUGGCCAAGAGAUUAUGUCACAACACACAAGGGAACUAGUAAGUAUCCCAUCACUAACUAUAUAUCAUAUGACAAAUUCACACCAAAGUACCAAAGCUAUUUGGAAAAGUUUUCUACAUUGGUUGAGCCUAGAUAUUUCAAACAAGCUGCAAAAGAUGCUAGAUGUAUUAAAGUAACGAGAUAAGAAAUCAAGGCUUUAGAGGAAGUUGUAGACUUACCAUCAGGGAAACACAUUGUAGGAUCCAAAUGGGUCUACAAGAUCAAGCACCAAGCAAAUGAAGACAUUGAGAGUUCAAGGCUGGACUAGUUGCAAAAGGUUAUAGCCAACAAGAGGGUCUAGAUUAUCAUGAUACUUUCUCUCAUGUAGUGAAGAUGGUAACGGCAAGGUCAUUCAUAGCCUUGGAUGUUUCUAAAGGUUGGAAUUUAUACUAGAUGGAUGUCUACGAUGACUUUUUACAAUAUGAUCUUAAUGAAGAAGUUUGCAUGGAUAUGCCUGAAGGUUUUAGGAGGCAAGAGGAGCUGAUGGUUUGCAAAUUUCUUAAGUUCUUGUAUGGACUUAAGCGUGUAUCAAGACAGUAAGACAGUGGAACAUUAAUUUGUCUGAUACAUUGGCAGCAGCAUAUUUCAUACAAAGCAAUUAUGACUAUUCCUUAUUCACAUUAAAAUAACUAGACAUCAUGGUGAUCAUCCUAGUGUAUGUGGAUGAUUUUCUCAUCACAACCAGCAAUGAUCAGCUGAUUACUGAGGCAAAUCAGAUACUCCAUCAGUAAUUCAAGCUAAAGGACUUAGGUUCUCAAAUACUUCUUGGGCAUUGAAAUCAUAAGGUCAGCAACUGCGGUACUUCUUAAUCAAAGGAAGUAUGUCCUAUAACUCAUUUGUGAAAUGGGACUUAGUGGUGCCAAUAUACCAAUCAACCCUUUGGAGACCAAUAUCAAGUAAACUACAAUUGCAUAUGAUCAGGAAGCAGGUUCCACAAGUGACUCACUUUUAAACGAUGUUAGUGCAUAUCAAAGAUUGAUUGGUCAUUUGAUGUAUGUUACUACAACAAGACAUGAUAUUAGUAUGCUAUUCACACCUUGAGCCAGUUCAUGCAACACAUUAAGAAGUCCCACUAGGAGGUUGCUUUUAAGGUGGUUAGAUAUUUGAAGAAUGCGCUAGGCCAAGGUAUUUGGUUGAUGUCUGGUCCUGCAUCAGAGUUAAAAUAUAGGUGUGAUUUUGAUUAGGCAGCUUGCAGCAAUACUAGGAGAUCAGUAACAUGUUAUAUGGUAAAAUUUGGUGAAUCUCUCAUUUCAUAGAAGUCAAAGAAGAAACAAAGAGUGUCAAGAAGUUCAGGUGAAGCUGAAUAUCGUAGCAUGGCUUCGGGCUUCGGCUAUAGCUAAAGUUACAUGGUUGCUUGGUCUAUUUAAAGAGUUGGGAUUUACCAUCAAGCUUCAUGUUCUAGUGCAAUGUGACAACAAAUUUGCUAUACCAUUGGCUACUAAUCCUAUUUUUCACGAAUGAACAAAAUAUAUUAUGAUCGAUUGUCAUGUCAUUCACGAUAAGAUCAAGGCAAUGGUGGUCAAGAUUGUCUAUGUCCAUUCCAAAUACCAACAAGCUGAUUUACUCACCAAGAGAAUCUCUCAAGAUUCACAUUCUCAUCUUCUUAGCAAGCUUGGUGUGCUGAAUAUAUUGUACCCUCCAGUUUGAGGGGGAGUCUUAUGACUCAAGUUAGUUAGUGGUAGUUAUGGCAGUUAGUGUGUCAAUUAGUCGGUUAAUACAUACACUUAAUGCCAGCUCAUAUCCAUCUUAUAAGUUAAUGUUAGUUAGGCUCAUUACUUUUAUAAAUACUACCCUGUAUCUCCGUAGAAAGAAUAAAAAAGGAUCAUUUUUGCAAUGCCUGCUUCUUUUUUAUUUAUGUGCUCUAGAAGCUUCUGCCAUUAGAGUAGUGCAGAGCAAAUACGAAUCAGUACGACUUGUUUAGUAUGUCAGAGACUAAUACUUAUGAGGGAAUUAAGGGGAAACGACCCUUGGCAAAUAGUCGAAUUCGACAUAUUGGCCAAGUCAAUGCAGCGCAUAGGGUGUGAUAGGAUAAGGUCAUUUAUUUAGACGUCAGAGCUUUAGAGUUUGAAUUUGAUGGAGCUACACAAACCAAAAUUUUAUCAGGCAACAUUUUUGAAGAUAGCAGAUCUGACAGUUAAUAGUAGAUUACUAGCUCCAAAAUAAUUAGUCACAAUUUUAAGAUAACAAACAUUAAACCAUUUAAUAGUUGAAUGCACUUUUUCCGUAGUAAUAAGUCACUUUCCAUCAUAGAACAGACAAGAUAUUUGAUACAAUAUUCUGCAUACUCGGUCGUUUCUAUAGUGACAAAAGCAAAUCCAUGAGACUCUUUGGUUCGAAGAUCUGUUAGGAGAUGGAAAUACAGUACCUAAAAGUAAGAAAGAUAUCAGACCACUAAUGAGAGUCAUGGGUGGUAAGACUACCAUAAUUCAAUCAUCUAUUGAUGAUGUUAUCAGAAAAACAAAAUUUCAAGCAAAUUGCUAAAGAUAUUUUAGUUAGGGCAGCAUAUUUUAAAUCCCAUCUACUUAAUAGGUUAAGAAAAGUCAGGUUUGCUAUAACAGACCUACUAUAUGUCCAUAUUAUAGCUGCAAAUCUACACAAACUGAAUGUGGCACUAGUAAUAACGUACAAUAUACUAAAGUGCUUAGGAGGGUUAGUCACUAUUUUCUCAAAUGUAUCCUACCCGUCUUUUAGCCUACAUUACGACCUAUGAAAUCCUACUUGAUCCCAGAUUUUGCGAGCUUUAAUUAGCAGACAAUUACACUAUAGGCAAGCCUAUGGUACGAGCUUUGGCGGCAUAAGAAUUUUUUUGUGAGAGUGAGAAAAUUCUUCUGAUUUCAGAGUCCUUAAAAUAUACUUGAACUUAUAUUUGAGUGUGUGGACUACUUUCUCUAUAUGGUUUGUUGGUGAGGGCAUGUGAUUUGCAGAUGAUUGGUAGAGACCUUGAUUUUUGAGUUGGCACAAGGAACGUGUCAUAAUGUGAUGUAUUAGAGUCAAGUUUUAGAGUCUAGGAUGUUAGAAAGAGUCACAUGAAUAUUUUAAAUGACAUUGGCAUGAGUUUAAAACUUAGGUAAGGGUAUGAAGAGUGCAUAUGUUGGGCUCUAAGUGUUGAUAUAACUCAUUGUCAUUGGUGUGGUGUUUGAGUGUGCUUUGAAAGGUAUU